This 1021-nucleotide ribosomal RNA is filed under the name Pseudomonas sp. RNAcentral describes it as "bacterial SSU rRNA". It matches the Rfam family "Bacterial small subunit ribosomal RNA", at positions 37 to 1075 of the family's 1533-position model. The record is from RNAcentral. Lineage: Bacteria; Pseudomonadati; Pseudomonadota; Gammaproteobacteria; Pseudomonadales; Pseudomonadaceae.
UGGGGGGAGGGCCUAAUACUGCAAGAGUAGAGCUCUUCUCUUGAGAGCGGCGGACGGUGAGUAACCUAGGAAUCUGCCUGGUAGUGGGGGAUAACGUUCGGAAACGGACGCUAAUCCGCAUACGUCCUACGGAGAAAGCAGGGGACCUUCGGGCCUUGCGCUAUCAGAUGAGCCUAGGUCGGAUUAGCUAGUUGGUGGGGUAAUGGCUCACCAAGGCGACGAUCCGUAACUGGUCUGAGAGGAUGAUCAGUCACACUGGAACUGAGACACGGUCCAGACUCCUACGGGAGGCAGCAGUGGGGAAUAUUGGACAAUGGGCGAAAGCCUGAUCCAGCCAUGCCGCGUGUGUGAAGAAGGUCUUCGGAUUGUAAAGCACUUUAAGUUGGGAGGAAGGGCAUUAACCUAAUACGUUAGUGUUUUGACGUUACCGACAGAAUAAGCACCGGCUAACUCUGUGCCAGCAGCCGCGGUAAUACAGAGGGUGCAAGCGUUAAUCGGAAUUACUGGGCGUAAAGCGCGCGUAGGUGGUUUGUUAAGUUGGAUGUGAAAUCCCCGGGCUCAACCUGGGAACUGCAUUCAAAACUGACUGACUAGAGUAUGGUAGAGGGUGGUGGAAUUUCCUGUGUAGCGGUGAAAUGCGUAGAUAUAGGAAGGAACACCAGUGGCGAAGGCGACCACCUGGACUGAUACUGACACUGAGGUGCGAAAGCGUGGGGAGCAAACAGGAUUAGAUACCCUGGUAGUCCACGCCGUAAACGAUGUCAACUAGCCGUUGGGAGCCUUGAGCUCUUAGUGGCGCAGCUAACGCAUUAAGUUGACCGCCUGGGGAGUACGGCCGCAAGGUUAAAACUCAAAUGAAUUGACGGGGGCCCGCACAARCGGUGGAGCAUGUGGGUUUAAUUCGCAAGCAACSCGRAGAAACCUUACCAGGSCUUUGACAUCCRAUGRACCUUUCUAGAAAAUGGUGCCCGGGAACAUUGAGACAGGUGGUGCAGGGGUUUUCGCUCAAGACAAAUUUUUU